This 533-nucleotide ribosomal RNA is filed under the name uncultured bacterium. Its description in RNAcentral is "bacterial SSU rRNA". It matches the Rfam family "Archaeal small subunit ribosomal RNA", at positions 723 to 1257 of the family's 1478-position model. The record is from RNAcentral.
AGUGAAUAGAUACCCAGGUAGUCCCAGCUGUAAACGAUGCGCGUUAGGUGUAUCGGUGACCACGAGUCACCGAGGUGCCGAAGAGAAAUCGUGAAACGUGCCGCCUGGGAAGUACGGUCGCAAGGCUGAAACUUAAAGGAAUUGGCGGGGGAGCACCACAACAGGUGGAGCCUGCGGUUUAAUCGGACUCAACGCCGGGAAACUCACCAGAUAAGACAGCUGAAUGAUAGUCGGGCUGAAGACUCUACUUGACUAGCUGAGAGGAGGUGCAUGGCCGUCGUCAGUUCGUACUGUGAAGCAUCCUGUUAAGUCAGGCAACGAGCGAGACCCACGCCAACAGUUGCCAGCUCGUCCUCCGGGAUGGAGGGGACACUGUUGGGACCGCCUCUGCUAAAGAGGAGGAAGGAAUGGGCAACGGUAGGUCAGCAUGCCCCGAAUUAUCUGGGCUACACGCGGGCUACAAUGGGUGGGACAAUGGUAUCGACACCGAAAGGUGAAGGCAAUCUCCUAAACCCAUCCUUAGUUCGGAUUGU